CUCUGUCCUAACACUAACAAGACCUCCACUAAACCAUAUCACUAAGGGCUACAUCUAAACGUCUUUUAAAGACCUCCAGGGAUGGCGACUCAACCACCUCCCUGGGCAGUCCAUUCCAAUGCCUAACAACCCCUUCAGUAAAGAAGUUCUUCCUAAUAUCCAACCUAAACCUCCCCUGGCGCAACUUUAGCCCAUUCCCCCUCGUCCUGUCACCAGGCACGUGGGAGAAUAGACCAAUCCCUACCUCUCUACAGCCUCCUUUAAGGUACCUAUAGAGAGCAAUGAGGUCUCCCCUGAGCCUCCUCUUCUCCAGGCUAAACAACCCCAGCUCCCUCAGCUGCUCCUUGUAAGACUUGUUCUCCAGACCCCUCACCAGUUUCGUUGCCCUUCUCUGGACUCUCUCGAGCACCUCCAUGUCCUUCUUGUAGUGAGGGGCCCAAAACUGAACACAGUACUCGAGGUGCGGCCUCACCAGAGCCGAGUACAGGGGGACAAUCACCUCCCUAGACCUGCUGGCCACACUGCUUCUGAUACAAGCCAGGAUGCUGUUGGCCUUCUUGGCCACCUGAGCACACUGCUGGCUCAUAUUCAGCUGCCUAUCAACCAGUACUCCCAGGUCCUUCUCGGCCAGGCAGCUUUCCAACCACUCAUCUCCCAGCCUGUAGCUCUGCUUGGGGUUGUUGUGCCCCAGGUGCAGGACCCGUCACUUGGCCUUGUUGAACUUCACACAGUUGGCCUCAGCCCAUCGGUCCAGCCUUCCAGAUCCUCCUGCAGAGCCUUCCUACCCUCCAGCAGAUCGACACACGCACCUAACUUGGUGUCAUCUGCAAACUUACUGAGGGUGCACUCGAUCCCCUCAUCCAGGUCAUCGAUAAACAUAUUAAAGAGGACCGGCCCCAGUGCCGAGCCCUGGGGGACUCCACUAGUGACCGGCCUCCAACUGGAUUUGGCUCCAUUCACCACAACUCUUUGGCCCGGCCAUCCAGCCAGUUUUUAACCCAACAAAGCAUACGCCAGUCCAAGCCACGAGCAGCCAGUUUCUUGAGGAGAAUGUUAUGGGAAACAGUGUCAAAAGCCUUACUGAAGUCAAGGUAGAUCACAUCCACAGCCUUCCCCUCAUCCACCAAGCA
This 1130-nucleotide long non-coding RNA is filed under the name Anser brachyrhynchus (Pink-footed goose). RNAcentral's name for it is "lncRNA (ENSABRG00000007527.1)". The record is from RNAcentral. Lineage: Eukaryota; Metazoa; Chordata; Aves; Anseriformes; Anatidae.